CACAGAGGGAGAGGAGAGGUUGCAUAGCUAGCUAGGCUAAUGCUAGGCUCGAAGAACACGGUUCCAUUUCAUUCCGCUAUGCGGAAUGCCUGCCCUUUACAUUUUCCGAUUCGGCUCGCUGCAAAUAAAUGUAUUAGGUAUCUUUGUGUCCAGAAUAAAAAUGGGGAAACCAAGUUUUCCCUCGGAUGAGUUUAGUUUUGUAUUAUUGUGUAGCUAUUUAUAAAGCUAACGUUAUCAUAGGUGGCUAAGCUAGCCGUGUCUAGUCAGGCAGAGGUUUUGCAUUGGUCGCUGUGUUUACGUUUAGGCCCGUGUUGCAAUGCAGCGGACCACUGCUUGUGGAUAAGAAUAGGGGAAUUUACUCUCGACAUUCUCACCCGAUGUGCACAGACGUUCUUACCUUGGAAAUGUAUUAAAAAAUGAUGUAGGUGUAAAUGAUAGUUAAUUGAUUGGACCCAGUCACACAUAGAUGACCAAAACCGCUAGUUUAGUAUAGUAGCCUACAUAUCAGGUAUCUUUCUAGUGUAGUAUAGUAGCCUACAUAUUGGGUAUCUUUCUAGUGUAGUAUAGCAGCCUACAUAUCAGGUAUCUUUCUAGUGUAGUAUAGUAGCCUACAUAUCAGGUAUCUUUCUAGUGUAGUAUAGUAGCCUACAUAUCAGGUAUCUUUCUAGUGUAGUAUAGCAGCCUACAUAUUGGGUAUCUUUCUAGUGUAGUAUAGCAGCCUACAUAUCAGGUAUCUUUCUAGUUUAGUAUAGUAGCCUACAUAUCAGGUAUCUUUCUAGUUUAGUAUAGUAGCCUACAUAUCAGGUAUCUUUCUAGUUUAGUAUAGUAGCCUACAUAUCAGGUAUCUUUCUAGUGUAGUAUAGUAGCCUACAUAUCAGGUAUCUUUCUAGUUUAGUAUAGUAGCCUACAUAUCAGGUAUCUUUCUAGUUUAGUAUAGUAGCCUACAUAUCAGGUAUCUUUGCAAGUCAAAGUUGAUAAAAUUAUUUUGUUGUCAACUAAAAUGUUAAGAUACUUGUGGCCGCAAAGUUCUUUGCGCUUUCUAUAUGUAUUUUUGCCAGCAACAACGAAACGGUACAAUGUUUGGUUAACUGUAGACUUGGUGUCUGAAAGUGGGUGUUGCAAAAUAAGCUGGUGGAUCAACAGGGAUGGGGUGUAACAUCAGCGCUCCAUUAUUGGUUAGACCAGCUAUAGCCAGGUGCACCACAUGUCAGUUUAAUGUUUACAUAGCAGGUUAGGACAAUAAUGGGGCAGGUUAGGAGAAUGAGGGUAGGGUUAGGACAAUUAACAUGGAAGGUUAGGAGAAUGAGGGUAGGGUUAGGACAAUUAACAUGGAAGGUUAGGAGAAUGAGGGUAGGGUUAGGACAAUUAUUGUGGCAGGUUAGGAGAAUGCGGGUAGGGUUAGGACAAUUUUUUUAUUUCACCUUUAUUUAACCAGGUAGGCAAGUUGAGAACAAGUUCUCAUUUACAAUUGCGACCUGGCCAAGAUAAAGCAAAGCAGUUUGACACAUACAACAACACAGAGUUACACAUGGAGUAAAACAAACAUACAGUCAGAUAAUACAAUUGAAAAAUAAGUCUAUAUACAAUGUGAACAAAUGAGGUGAGAUAAGGGAGGUAAAGGCAAAAAAAGCCAUGGUGGCGAAGUAAAACACUGGAAUGGUAGAUUUGCAGUGGAAUAAUGUGCAAAGUAGCAAAAUAAAUACAGUAUGGGAAGAGGUAGUUAUUUGGGCUAAAUUAUAAUGUAUGUACAGGUGCAGUAAUCUGUGAGCUGCUCUGACAGCUGGUGCUUAAAGCUAUUGAGGGAGAUAAGUUUCCAGUUUCAAAGAUUUUUGUAGUUCGUUCCAGUCAUUGGCAACAGAGAACUGGAAGGAGAGGUGGCCAAAGGAGGAAUUGGUUUUGGGGUGACCAGAGUGAUAUACCUGCUGGAGUGCGUGCUACAGGUGGGUGCUGCUAUGGUGCCCAGUGAGCUGAGAUGAGGGCGGACUUUACCUAGCAGGGUCUUGUAGAUGACCUGGAGCCAGUUGGUUUGGCGACGAGUAUGAAGCGAGGGCCAGCCAACGAGAGCGUACAGGUCGCAGUGGUGGGUAGUAUAUGGGGCUUUGGUGAUAAAACGGAUGGCACUGUAAUACACUGCAUUCAAUUUAUUGAGUAGGGUAUUGGAGGCUAUUUUGUAAAUGACAUCGCCAAAGUCGAGGCUCGGUAGGAUUUUCAGUUUUACAAGGGUAUGUUUGGCAGCAUGAGUGAAGGAUGCUUUGUUGCGAAAUAGGAAGCCAAUUCUAGAUUUAACUUUGGAUUGGAGAUGUUUGAUGUGAGUCAGGAAGGAGAGUUUACAGUCUAACCAGACAUCUAGGUAAUUGUAGUUGUCCACAUAUUCUAAGUCAGAACUGUCCAGAGUAGUGAUGCUGGACGGGCGGGUAGGUGUAGGCAGUGAGCGGUUGAAAAGCAUACAUUUAGUUUUACUUGUAUUUAAGAGCAGUUGGAGGCCACGGAAGGAGAGUUGUAUGGCAUUGAAGCUCGUCUGGAGGGUUGUUAACACAGUGUCCAAAGAAGGGCCAGAAGUAUACAGAAUGGUGUCGUCUGCGUAGAGGUGGAUCAGAGACUCACCAGCAGCAAGAGCGACAUCAUUGAUGUAUACAGAGAAGAGAGUCGGCCCAAGAUUUGAACGCUGUGGCACCCCCAUAGAGACUGGGGGUGCCACAGGUCUGUAGCAGUUUGGGUCUAGAGUGUCACCCCCUUUGAAGAGGGGGAUAACCGCAGCAGCUUUCCAAUCUUUCGGAAUCUCAGACGACACGAAAGAGAGGUGGCAGGUCAAUUAACGUGGCAGGUUAGGAGAAUGAGGGUAGGGUUAGGCAAAUAGUCAGGGUUAGGCUUAGCUAAAAUGCAACAGCUGUCAACAAUCAACUCAUCGUGCAACCCAAUAAGCCAUGCAAAACGGUCUACAAGUGUCACCAGUCUGAUCAGUGGGGUCAAUGAGUUGACCCUACUGCUGCAUCUCUACAAUGACUGACCCAUUAAUAACACAUCAUCAGAUCAAUACUCUCAUUAGAUCUGUCCACCCAGCAAGGAGUGUGUGUGUUUCUAUUUGUCUUUGGUUCUUCUCCUGCUGUUUCCCUGCAGCUUGUCCGCCAUUCAAUUGUUACCCAAUCAGUAACUACAAUACAGAAGAGGAGUAUUCUCUGUACAACUCAUUUAAUUGCUGAUAUCCUGGUUGUCCACCAGGGGAGAUUGAUGAUAUCCUGGUUGUCCACCAGGGGAGAUUGAUGAUAUCCUGGUUGUCCACCAGGGGAGAUUGAUGAUAUCCUGGUUGUCCACCAGGGGAGAUUGAUGAUAUCCUGGUUGUCCACCAGGGGAGAUUGAUGAUAUCCUGGUUGUCCACCAGGGGAGAUUGAUGAUAUCCUGGUUGUCCACCAGGGGAGAUUGAUGAUAUCCUGGUUGUUCACCAGGGGAGAUUGAUGAUAUCCUGGUUGUCCACCAGGGGAGAUUGAUGAUAUCCUGGUUGUCCACCAGGGGAGAUUGAUGAUAUCCUGGUUGUCCACCAGGGGAGAUUGAUGAUAUCCUGGUUGUCCACCAGGGGAGAUUGAUGAUAUCCUGGUUGUCCACCAGGGGAGAUUGAUGAUAUCCUGGUUGUCCACCAGGGGAGAUUGAUGAUAUCCUGGUUGUCCACCAGGGGAGAUUGAUGAUAUCCUGGUUGUCCACCAGGGGAGAUUGAUGAUAUCCUGGUUGUCCACCAGGGGAGAUUGAUGAUAUCCUGGUUGUCCACCAGGGGAGAUUGAUGAUAUGCCCGGUUUGGUUGUCAACCAGGGGAGAUUGAUGAUAUGCCCGGUUUGGUUGUCAACCAGGGGAGAUUGAUGAUAUGCCCGGUUUGGUUGUCAACCAGGGGAGAUUGAUGAUAUGCCCGGUUUGGUUGUCAACCAGGGGAGAUUGAUGAUAUGCCCGGUUUGGUUGUCCACCAGGGGAGAUUGAUGAUAUGCCCGGUUUGGUUGUCCACCAGGGGAGAUUGAUGAUAUGCCCGGUUUGGUUGUCCACCAGGGGAGAUUGAUGAUAUGCCCGGUUUGGUUGUCAACCAGGGGAGAUAAUUGGCACUAUGGCAUUCGGGCAGGUGGCGUUCUGCUGGCAUUCACCAAACCCAGAUUCGUCCGUCGGACUGCCAGAUGGUAAAGCGUGGUUCAUCACUCCAGAAAAUGCGUUUCCACUGCUCCAGAGUCCAAUGGUGGUGAGCUUUACACCACUCCAGCCGACACUUGGCAUUGCGCAUGAUGAUCUUAGGCUUGUGUGCGGCUGCUCGGCCAUGGAAACCCACUUCAUAAAUCUCCCAACGCACAGUUCUUUUGCUGACGUUGCCUCCAGAGGCAGUUUGGAACACAGUCGUGAGUGUUGCAGCUGAGGACAGGUGAUUUUUACUCACUUUAUCACUGCGGUCCCGUUCUAUUGAGCUUGUGUGGCCUGCCACUUUGCGGCUGAACCGUUUUGCUCCUAGACAUUUCCACUUCUCAAUAACAGCACUUACACUUUACAGGGGCAGCUCUAGCAGGGCAGAAAUUUGAUGAAUUGACUUGUUGGAAAGGUGGCAUCCUAUGACAGUGCCACGUUGAAAGUCACUGAGCUCUUUAGUACGGGCCAUUAUACUGCCAAUGUUUGUCUAUGGAGAUUGCAUGACGGUGUGUGUGAUUUUUAUACACCUGUCAGCAACGGGUGUGGCUGAAAUGGACAAAUCCAGCAAUUUGAAGGUGUCCACAUACCUUUGGGCAUGUAGUGUAUAUCAUCCUUGUCCUUUUUCAGCCACGACUCCAAGGAACAUAGAAUAUUACAGUUCUUCAGGUCCCGUUGAUAGGAUAGUCUCCAACUGGAGCUUGUCCAGCUUGUUCUCUAGUGACUACUUUCGCCAAUAGAACAGAGGGUAGAGGAGGUUUAUUUGCUUGCUAAAGUUGUCUCGUCAGGAUGUCUGCCUCCUGUGCCGUCACUUACUCUUUCGAGUCCCGUCUGAUGACGAGCGAGUGGAGGACAAUCUCAUUUCAUACAGGUGCAUUAGUUUCAUCUUCUCGCCGCUGCUCCUCCAUUACCUUUGACCUUUUUUCCAAAAAGAGGCGAGGAAAACCAAUUGAGAUUUUCCCCAGGACUCAGACACUUUCAGCUGCAGCAAGCAGGAAGUCCAUAUUUAGAGAUACGGCGCUGCCCUCUAGAGUCAGAGAAUCUAAUUGUAUGCUGUUCAUCAUCCGCUGUAACGACAGUACCAUUGAUAGAGUUUAUUCAGUGGCAUCAUGCAAGGUUGUGUUGCAGUGUUUUGAAAAGGAACUCCAUCAAUAUUAAC
This is a long non-coding RNA of Oncorhynchus keta (chum salmon), 5308 nucleotides long. RefSeq lists it as uncharacterized. The record is from RefSeq and is a predicted model, not a curated record. The transcript has 3 exons. Lineage: Eukaryota; Metazoa; Chordata; Actinopteri; Salmoniformes; Salmonidae.